Carya illinoinensis is the source of this 224-nucleotide long non-coding RNA. RefSeq lists it as uncharacterized. The transcript has 3 exons. Lineage: Eukaryota; Viridiplantae; Streptophyta; Magnoliopsida; Fagales; Juglandaceae. The record is from RefSeq and is a predicted model, not a curated record.
UAAUGGAUGGCGAGAUAAAAUUAUUUGCUUGCAAAAGAUUUGAUUUUACAAAUUAUUGGUGAAAUAUCUUUAUCUGGUGCAACAUAUAAGUCUAUGGAGUUUGUUGGCACAACUGUUGAAAGUUUAACUAUGGAAGAAAGGAUGACAUUAUGUAACAUGGUUAUUGAAGUUGGGGCAAAGAAUGCUGUUGUCCCUACUGAUGGUUGUCUUUGUGUCUGCGUGCG